GGGAGGCAGGGGAGGAGAAGAGAUACGAAGGUGUGAUGGCCCAGCUCCCUCCCACAGUGAGUCCCAUCUCAGUCUCUGCCAGUGCCCUGGUGAAAAGCACACUUCCAAGGGCUGCCUUAGGCCUGUCAGCAGAAGUCUGCUAAACUCCAGACCUCGUCAAAGAGUAAUAAUGAGACCUUCUUCAGAGGGUCAUUGCAAGGAUUCAGUGAGGAACUACAUAUAAAGCUAUCUGCAAAGUUCCAAGGAAAUAGUAUGUGUCCGAUAAAUGUUAGCUGCUAAGGCUAUUAUUAUUGUCCCAAUCCCUGAUGUUAUUCAAAGCACAAGAAAACAUCUGAUAUACUACUUACAAGACAACCCAGCUUGGGCUGGCUGCAAGGUGAGGAGCCAGUGGUUAUGUGUAACUGCAUUAACAUGAAUUCUGAUGUUCGGUUAACCUGGGCUAUUCCUAAAGGAACUCCUCCUUUGAUGUCUCACCACCAGUGGCUUUGCCAGGAUCAUUUUUUGAAUCAGAGCCAGAUGAACUGUUGCAAUUAAAUGCUUAUUAGCUUAUGACACGCACCUAAGUGCCAGUCAAUUUAGAGAGGCUGCCAAUCAAAAAUGUGAGUUUUUAUUUUUGCUAUGGAGGUCUUUUUUAAGAAUAAUUGUAGAAGCGAGGAAUGGCAAGCUAAAUUACAAGAUGAAGCAAGAGUCAUCUGAAGUUGGCACUGAAAUCAGAAAUGUGGGUGGAAAAUUAAUUAAAGCAGGGAGGCACAAGCAAAGGGAAAGACAUUAGCAAGAUAUCCGGGGAGUUGGGGAUGCUGGUGGUGGUGGGGGACCCUGGACUGACCGUUGACCAUUAGUGGUUUACCAAUUAAAUUUGACAGACAUUUGGCUCAUGAAUGGUAAGAUUUCUAAUGAACUCAAGGCAAAAGAAUAUCUGGUAAAAGCUAUACUUUUAUUUAACUCACCUCAGUAAUUAACAAGGCCUGUUAGUUUUCUUUAGCUCCAUCUCUGGUUUGAGAUCACUGUUAAAUAAUUAUAAAAAUAUAAAUAGAAUGUUAGCAUCUUGGGUGUAUUUGGUUGUUGAGAAAUCUUUCUUUAGAGAAAAUAUAACUUCACAAUUGUACUCACUUAGGUUCCUUCAGGCUAGGAAGGAAUCUCAAAGGCGAUCUACUUUAACCACGCUCCAGAGGCAGAAGCCACUCCCAACAGUCCACAAUGUCUGUGAAUAUCUAGCCUGUAUUUGACAUAGGUUUUGCUUGUUUUUUUUUUUUUUAAUCUUAACAUUGUUUUUGGAACAUUCAGCUUGACUUCUUAUAAGUUCUAGUUCUAAGAAAGAUCUUACAUAUAAAGACGGCACAUCUUUCGUGAGACUUGCAACUUUUUCCACUGACUGUACUUUGUGAUUCUGCUUGGUGGUGAUUUUCUGGGUUUCUUCUUACAUUUGUGGGACUAAAGGUGAUUUUUUCAAAAUAAUAGUAAUCAACUGCAUAAUUUCCAGGAAUAGAUACAGCCAGCAACCUCCCAAUUCCUCUUCACACCGCAUCUCAAAUACUUCAUUAAAACACGGAUGCCAAACUUAAAAAACAGAAUGUGGCAUUUCUCUGGAAGAAUAUAAGCUUCAUGAGGGAAAAGACAUGUGCUUCCUUCUUGUAUUCACAGCACCUAAUACAGUACCUGACACAUGAUAAUAGCCUUAGAAGAAUACUUAAGAGGCAUCAAAUGAACGUUUGUUAGAGCUGUCACUGUUUAUUAUUUUUCAUUCACCGUGUACCAGUAACUUCUUUUAAUGAUGUCUGCUAUUUAGACUGUCACUUCAUUGUUCAUUAGUACAUGACUUUGGUUAAGUGUAUCUCCUGUGAAGAGAAAUAAUUUAACAAACUCUUAUGGCAUUCAACACGGAUAUUUCAGUUACUCAACUAAUCCACCCACUGAUAGUGAACUUUGAAUUAAAUCCUUUGAAGAAUAAAGUCAAAUAGAUCUUGAUAAGAAUCAAAGGCUGUGGAAAUCAUGUUUGACAGAAGGCAUGAACAAAAAUGCUAAAAUGAAUACUGUUUGGGGAGAAACACUCAUUUUAUGGCAGCCUGAAUGAAGAGUAAUAGUUCAAGAGUAUCAAAAUGCCUGUAUGAUCAAAAGGCAGAAACAGCUUCUUUUUACUAUGUCUUAAUAUUCCAGGACUCAUGAUAUCCUGCCUACAUGAGCACCUGUCUUUGUGGUAACUCGAAGUAUUUGAACACCUUAUCUCAUCCAACCUCAAAUUUCCUGUGAGGUAGGUAAGUGCUGAGAGCUCUUGGUGCUGUUUUCAAGACGAGGCAAGUGAGUUAGAGAGGCUGUUUACACACUACAAAUUUCACAGAGCCCUUAGGAGGAAGUGAACUUAAGAAUUAGCAGUUAAUUCCCAGUCAUAGAAAUCUGUUAGAGCUUGAAAGGACAUUGCCAAGACCCUGGUCCAAAAUGGGCUUUUCUGAUAAGAUGUAUUUGUGAUGACUUGAUUCAUUACACCAACCACACAAAUUUUAUGUAAUUUUCUAGUUAUAAAAGUAAUACACAUAGUAGUACAUACAUACAUAUAUGUAAUACAUGGCACAAAAGGGUAUUAAAUUUAAAAACAAAAGACGUGUAGUAGUCUCUCCUUUUAUAUCCCAAUGCCAUUUUUGAGAUUCCCAUCACUCAGAGGUAACCACUGUUAAUGGCUUUUAGUAUGUAUUUCCAAAAAUUUCCUAUGUAGCCAAAAGCGUGUGCAUGUAUAUGUGUACGCACACAUAUACAUGCAAUUACAUGUUUCGCUUCCUAUUAAAUAGCUACACUUGGAAGUUUUAUAACCAUUCCAAACUUAACAUGACCUUCUACUCUUCUCUCCCAAUCCUGAUCUUCUCAGUUCACCUGGAGAAUGCCAACUCCAUGCUCCCAGUUGUGUGAGUCAAAACUCUUUGAGAUCAUCCUUGGCUUCUCUAGUUCCUCCCUACUCCAUGUCUAAUUCAUCAGUAAAUCUUGUUGGAUGUAUGUUUAAAAUAUGUCCACAAUCCAAGCUCUUAUCACCUCUCCAUUGCUUCCACCCUCGUUCAAGCCAUCAUCAUCUCUUGUCUGAAUUAUUACAGUUGUCUUCUAACUGAUCUCCCUACUUCUGCUUAGCUUCCUAUUAUCUAUGAUCAGUCCUGCAGACAGAGGGAUCCUGUCAAAAGACAAUUUAAGAUACACUGCAUGCUUCUUCCCUACUCAGAAACCACCCAAAGGCUCUCCAUUUAAUUUAGAUUAAAAAGGAUGCCUGGGUGGCUCAGGGGUUGAGCGUCUGCCUUUGGCCCAGGGCAUGAUCCUGAAGUGGAGGGAUCGAGUCCCACCCACCUCGGGCUCCCUGCCUGCUUCUCCCUCUGCCUAUGUCUCUGCCUCUCUCUCUCUCUGUGUCUCUCAUGAA
Molecule: long non-coding RNA, 3391 nt
Filed under: Canis lupus familiaris (dog)
Lineage: Eukaryota; Metazoa; Chordata; Mammalia; Carnivora; Canidae
Description: lncRNA (ENSCAFG00845003239.1)
Source: RNAcentral